GCCAUCGGCACCCACCCCUAGACCCUAAUUCUGGUGGUUUCUCAACUUCAGCAGCCCAAUUCCCAAAGGCCCGUUGGUUCCGGCACGGUUAUCCCUGCCGGAUUCCCCGGCAGCAGGAAAUUUCCCCAUCAUCUGACUCACUGCAGCUUUAGAGGACAUGGGUAUGAGGGCUGUCGUAA
Molecule: long non-coding RNA, 179 nt
Organism: Aquila chrysaetos chrysaetos
Lineage: Eukaryota; Metazoa; Chordata; Aves; Accipitriformes; Accipitridae
Exons: 2
Source: RefSeq, a predicted model, not a curated record